AAAUUAGAGGAGGGUGAUUCACAACUUCUAAUGUCAAAUGAAAAUUUCCACAAAAAGGGAUGAUCCACUCUCUUUAAGAAAAAAAUCAAGACUUAAAAAAUGAAAAAUAUUUAUUUAAAGGUGGAUAGUCCAUAAUCUUCAAAUAUAAACAUAGAAGUAGAUAAACUACUCACUUCUAAAUCAAAAAAUAAAAAUAAUGAAUUCUUCAUUCUUAUCAAAUUAUCAAAGAUA
RNAcentral lists this long non-coding RNA (231 nucleotides) under Physcomitrium patens. Its description in RNAcentral is "long non-coding RNA (PPAT_LNC004755)". The record is from RNAcentral. Lineage: Eukaryota; Viridiplantae; Streptophyta; Bryopsida; Funariales; Funariaceae.